CGUUUGACCUCGGAUCAGGUAGGGAUACCCGCUGAACUUAAGCAUAUCAAUAAGCGGAGGAAAAGAAACCAACAGGGAUUGCCCUAGUAACGGCGAGUGAAGCGGCAACAGCUCAAAUUUGAAAUCUGGCUCUUUUAGAGUCCGAGUUGUAAUUUGCAGAGGGCGCUUUGGCUUUGGCAGCGGUCCAAGUUCCUUGGAACAGGACGUCACAGAGGGUGAGAAUCCCGUACGUGGUCGCUAGCUAUUGCCGUGUAAAGCCCCUUCGACGAGUCGAGUUGUUUGGGAAUGCAGCUCUAAAUGGGAGGUAAAUUUCUUCUAAAGCUAAAUAUUGGCCAGAGACCGAUAGCGCACAAGUAGAGUGAUCGAAAGAUGAAAAGCACUUUGGAAAGAGAGUCAAACAGCACGUGAAAUUGUUGAAAGGGAAGCGCUUGCAGCCAGACUUGCUUGCAGUUGCUCAUCCGGGCUUUUGCCCGGUGCACUCUUCUGCAGGCAGGCCAGCAUCAGUUUGGGCGGUGGGAUAAAGGUCUCUGACACGUUCCUUCCUUCGGGUUGGCCAUAUAGGGGAGACGUCAUACCACCAGCCUGGACUGAGGUCCGCGCAUCUGCUAGGAUGCUGGCGUAAUGGCUGUAAGCGGCCCGUCUUGAAACACGGACCAAGGAGUCUAACAUCUAUGCGAGUGUUUGGGUGUCAAGCCCGAGCGCGUAAUGAAAGUGAACGGAGGUGGGAACCCGCAAGGGUGCACCAUCGACCGAUCCUGAAGUUUACGGAAGGAUUUGAGUAAGAGCAUGGCUGUUGGGACCCGAAAGAUGGUGAACUAUGCUUGAAUAGGGUGAAGCCAGAGGAAACUCUGGUGGAGGCUCGCAGCGGUUCUGACGUGCAAAUCGAUCGUCAAAUUUGGGCAUAGGGGCGAAAGACUAAUCGAACUAUCUAGUAGCUGGUUCCUGCCGAAGUUUCCCUCAGGAUAGCAGUAACGUAUUCAGUUUUAUGAGGUAAAGCGAAUGAUUAGAG
This 1009-nucleotide ribosomal RNA is filed under the name uncultured Ascomycota. RNAcentral describes it as "eukaryotic LSU rRNA". It matches the Rfam family "Eukaryotic large subunit ribosomal RNA", at positions 1 to 1026 of the family's 3401-position model. Lineage: Eukaryota; Fungi; Ascomycota. The record is from RNAcentral.